CGGAACGUACCUUUCAGUGGGGGAUAACGUAGCGAAAGUUACGCUAAUACCGCAUAUUCUGUGAGCAGGAAAGCAGGGGAUCUUAGGACCUUGCGCUGAUUGAGCGGCCGAUAUCAGAUUAGCUAGUUGGUGAGGUAAAGGCUCACCAAGGCGACGAUCUGUAGCGGGUCUGAGAGGAUGAUCCGCCACACUGGAACUGAGACACGGUCCAGACUCCUACGGGAGGCAGCAGUGGGGAAUUUUGGACAAUGGGGGCAACCCUGAUCCAGCCAUGCCGCGUGAGUGAAGAAGGCCUUCGGGUUGUAAAGCUCUUUCAGCCGGGAAGAAAACGCAUGGGUUAAUACCCUGUGUGGAUGACGGUACCGGAAUAAGAAGCACCGGCUAACUACGUGCCAGCAGCCGCGGUAAUACGUAGGGUGCGAGCGUUAAUCGGAAUUACUGGGCGUAAAGCGUGCGCAGGCGGUUUUGUAAGACAGGCGUGAAAUCCCCGGGCUCAACCUGGGAACUGCGUUUGUGACUGCAAGGCUAGAGUAUGGCAGAGGGGGGUGGAAUUCCACGUGUAGCAGUGAAAUGCGUAGAGAUGUGGAGGAACACCGAUGGCGAUGCAGCCCCCUGGGCCAAUACUGACGCUCAUGCACGAAAGCGUGGGUAGCAAACAGGAUUAGAUACCCUGGUAGUCCACGCCCUAAACGAUGUCAACUAGGUGUUGGGUGGGUAAAACCAUUUAGUACCGGAGCUAACGCGUGAAGUUGACCGCCUGGGGAGUACGGCCGCAAGGUUAAAACUCAAAGGAAUUGACGGGGACCCGCACAAGCGGUGGAUGAUGUGGAUUAAUUCGAUGCAACGCGAAAAACCUUACCUACCCUUGACAUGUCCAGAAGCCCUUAGAGAUUUGGGUGUGCCCGAAAGGGAGCUGGAACACAGCUGCUGCAUGGCUGUCGUCAGCUCGUGUCGUGAGAUGUUGGGUUAAGUCCCGCAACGAGCGCAACCCUUGUCGUUAAUUGCCAUCAUUUAGUUGGGCACUUUAACGAGACUGCCGGUGACAAACCGGAGGAAGGUGGGGAUGACGUCAAGUCCUCAUGGCCCUUAUGGGUAGGGCUUCACACGUCAUACAAUGGUCGGUACAAAGGGUCGCCAACCCGCGAGGGGGAGCCAAUCCCAGAAAGCCGAUCGUAGUCCGGAUCGUAGGCUGCAACUCGCCUGCGUGAAGUCGGAAUCGCUAGUAAUCGUGGAUCAGCAUGUCACGGUGAAUACGUUCCCGGGUCUUGUACACACCGCCCGUCACACCAUGGGAGCGGGUUCCGCCAGAAGUAGGUAGCCUAACCGCAAGGGGGGCGCUUACCACGGCGGGGUUCGUGACUGGGGUGAAGUCGUAACAAGGUA
This 1383-nucleotide ribosomal RNA is filed under the name metagenome. RNAcentral describes it as "bacterial SSU rRNA". It matches the Rfam family "Bacterial small subunit ribosomal RNA". The record is from RNAcentral.